This 235-nucleotide ribosomal RNA is filed under the name uncultured bacterium. RNAcentral describes it as "partial 16S ribosomal RNA". It matches the Rfam family "Bacterial small subunit ribosomal RNA", at positions 524 to 757 of the family's 1533-position model. The record is from RNAcentral.
UACGAAGGGGGCUAGCGUUGCUCGGAAUCACUGGGCGUAAAGGGUGCGUAGGCGGGUCUUUUAAGUCAGGGGUGAAAUCCUGGAGCUCAACUCCAGAACUGCCUUGAUACUGGAGAUCUUGAGUCCGGGAGAGGUGAGUGGAACUGCGAGUGUAGAGGUGAAAUUCGUAGAUAUUCGCAAGAACACCAGUGGCGAAGGCGGCUCACUGGCCCGGUACUGACGCUGAGACGACGAA